This 202-nucleotide ribosomal RNA is filed under the name uncultured bacterium. RNAcentral describes it as "partial 16S ribosomal RNA". It matches the Rfam family "Bacterial small subunit ribosomal RNA", at positions 1300 to 1500 of the family's 1533-position model. The record is from RNAcentral.
GUAGUCUGCAACUCGACUACAUGAAGCUGGAAUCGCUAGUAAUCGCGGAUCAGAAUGCCGCGGUGAAUACGUUCCCGGGUCUUGUACACACCGCCCGUCACACCAUGGGAGUCAGUAACGCCCGAAGUCAGUGACCCAACCGUAAAGGAGGGAGCUGCCGAAGGCGGGACGGAUAACUGGGGUGAAGUCGUAACAAGGUAGC